UAACAGAGGUGCAAAACUCCAGCAGGG
Molecule: non-coding RNA, 27 nt
Filed under: Mus musculus (house mouse)
Lineage: Eukaryota; Metazoa; Chordata; Mammalia; Rodentia; Muridae
Source: RNAcentral